RNAcentral lists this ribosomal RNA (497 nucleotides) under uncultured bacterium. Its description in RNAcentral is "partial 16S ribosomal RNA". It matches the Rfam family "Bacterial small subunit ribosomal RNA", at positions 28 to 507 of the family's 1533-position model. The record is from RNAcentral.
GAUGAACGCUGGCGGCGUGCCUAAUACAUGCAAGUCGAGCGAACGGACGAGAAGCUUGCUUCUCUGAUGUUAGCGGCGGACGGGUGAGUAACACGUGGAUAACCUACCUAUAAGACUGGGAUAACUUCGGGAAACCGGAGCUAAUACCGGAUAAUAUUUUGAACCGCAUGGUUCAAAAGUGAAAGACGGUCUUUCUGUCACUUAUAGAUGGAUCCGCGCUGCAUUAGCUAGUUGGUAAGGUAACGGCUUACCAAGGCAACGAUGCAUAGCCGACCUGAGAGGGUGAUCGGCCACACUGGAACUGAGACACGGUCCAGACUCCUACGGGAGGCAGCAGUAGGGAAUCUUCCGCAAUGGGCGAAAGCAUGACGGAGCAACGCCGCGUGAGUGAUGAAGGUCUUCGGAUCGUAAAACUCUGUUAUUAGGGAAGAACAUAUGUGUAAGUAACUGUGCACAUCUUGACGGUACCUAAUCAGAAAGCCACGGCUAACUACGUG